CUUAUACAUGCAAGUCGAGGGGCAGCAGGUCUGUAGCAAUACAGAUGCUGGCGACCGGCAAACGGGUGCGUAACACGUACGCAACCUUCCCGUUACUGGGGAAUAGCCCAGGGAAACUUGGAUUAAUACCCCAUAUUAUAUUGGUUGGGCAUCCGACUGAUAUCAAAGUUUUAACGGUAACGGAUGGGCGUGCGGUUGAUUAGGUAGUUGGCGGGGUAACGGCCCACCAAGCCUACGAUCAAUAGCUGAUGUGAGAGCAUGAUCAGCCACACGGGCACUGAGACACGGGCCCGACUCCUACGGGAGGCAGCAGUAAGGAAUAUUGGGCAAUGGACGAAAGUCUGACCCAGCCAUGCCGCGUGAAGGAAGAAGGCCCUAUGGGUCGUAAACUGCUUUUACACCGGAGAAAACCCCCCUACGUGUAGGGGGCUGAUAGUAUGGUGAGAAUAAGCAUCGGCUAACUUCGUGCCAGCAGCCGCGGUAAGACGAAGGAUGCAAGCGUUAUCCGGAUUUAUUGGGUUUAAAGGGAGCGUAGGUGGCCUUAUAAGUCAGUGGUGAAAGACUAGAGCUUAACUCUGGAAUUGCCAUUGAUACUGUAGGGCUUGAGUAUAGUUGCUGUGGGCGGAAUAUGACAUGUAGUGGUGAAAUACUUAGAGAUGUCAUAGAACACCGAUUGCGAAGGCAGCUCACAAAACUAUAACUGACACUGAGGCUCGAAAGUGCGGGGAUCAAACAGGAUUAGAUACCCUGGUAGUCCGCACUGUAAACGAUGAUUACUCGUUGCUGGGGAGCAAUUCUCAGUGACUAAGCGAAAGCGAUAAGUAAUCCACCUGGGGAGUACGCCGGCAACGGUGAAACUCAAAGGAAUUGACGGGGGCCCGCACAAGCGGAGGAGCAUGUGGUUUAAUUCGAUGAUACGCGAGGAACCUUACCAGGGCUUGAAAGUUAGUGACCGCUCCUGAAAGGGAGCUUUCCGCAAGGACACGAAACUAGGUGCUGCAUGGCUGUCGUCAGCUCGUGCCGUGAGGUGUUGGGUUAAGUCCCGCAACGAGCGCAACCCCUACCAUUAGUUGCCAGCGAGUUAUGUCGGGGACUCUAGUGGAACUGCCCGCGCAAGCGGUGAGGAAGGUGGGGAUGACGUCAAGUCAUCACGACCCUUACGUCCUGGGCUACACACGUGCUACAAUGGUCACUACAGAGGGCAGCUACAUAGUAAUAUGAUGCAAAUCUUCAAAAGUGAUCUCAGUUCGGAUUGAGGUCUGCAACUCGACCUCAUGAAGCUGGAUUCGCUAGUAAUCGCGCAUCAGCAAUGGCGCGGUGAAUACGUUCCCGGGCCUUGUACACACCGCCCGUCAAGCCAUGAAAGCUGGGAGUAUUUAAAGUCGGUGCCGCAA
Molecule: ribosomal RNA, 1394 nt
Filed under: uncultured prokaryote
Description: 16S ribosomal RNA
Rfam family: Bacterial small subunit ribosomal RNA
Source: RNAcentral